GGGAGUAGAUAGGUUCUGGUGUGCCUGCCAGUCUUCAAAACUGUGUUGGGGUGUUAAUAGCAUCCUGGGUGGGUUCGAUUCCCACAUAUUCCC
RNAcentral lists this transfer RNA (93 nucleotides) under Clostridium grantii DSM 8605. RNAcentral describes it as "Selenocysteine transfer RNA". It matches the Rfam family "Selenocysteine transfer RNA". Lineage: Bacteria; Bacillati; Bacillota; Clostridia; Eubacteriales; Clostridiaceae. The record is from Rfam by way of RNAcentral.